Molecule: ribosomal RNA, 253 nt
Filed under: uncultured bacterium
Lineage: Bacteria
Description: partial 16S ribosomal RNA
Rfam family: Bacterial small subunit ribosomal RNA
Source: RNAcentral
UACAGAGGUCCCAAGCGUUGUUCGGAUUCAUUGGGCGUAAAGGGUGCGUAGGUGGCAUGGUAAGUCGGGUGUGAAAUCCUGGGGCUUAACCCCGGAACUGCAUUCGAUACUGCAGUGCUUGAGGACUGGAGAGGAGACUGGAAUUCAUGGUGUAGCAGUGAAAUGCGUAGAGAUCAUGAGGAAGACCAGUGGCGAAGGCGGGUCUCUGGACAGUUCCUGACACUGAGGCACGAAGGCCAGGGGAGCAAACGGG